GGAAAAGAAACCAACAGGGAUUGCCUCAGUAACGGCGAGUGAAGCGGCAAAAGCUCAAAUUUGAAAUCUGGUUCGCCCGAGUUGUAAUUUGAAGAGGUUGUUUUGGAAGCGGCUCUUGUCUAUGUUCCUUGGAACAGGACGUCACAGAGGGUGAGAAUCCCGUGCGAUGAGAUGCCCGCUUCUAUGUAAAACGUCCUCGACGAGUCGAGUUGUUUGGGAAUGCAGCUCUAAGUGGGUGGUAAAUUCCAUCUAAAGCUAAAUAUUGGCGAGAGACCGAUAGCGAACAAGUACAGUGAUGGAAAGAUGAAAAGAACUUUGAAAAGAGAGUGAAAAAGAAUGUGAAAUUGUUGAAAGGGAAGGACUUGAGAUCAGACUUGGAGGAUUUAUCCUUCUGGGCCAGCAUCAGCUCGAGGGGCGGGAGAAUGGCGCAGGAAAGUAGCUCAUUGAGUGUUAUAGCCUGCGCUGAUGCCGCCACU
Molecule: ribosomal RNA, 476 nt
Filed under: [Candida] sp. ZT8-8.12
Lineage: Eukaryota; Fungi; Ascomycota; Saccharomycetes; Saccharomycetales
Description: eukaryotic LSU rRNA
Rfam family: Eukaryotic large subunit ribosomal RNA
Source: RNAcentral